Molecule: long non-coding RNA, 1010 nt
Filed under: Ananas comosus (pineapple)
Lineage: Eukaryota; Viridiplantae; Streptophyta; Magnoliopsida; Poales; Bromeliaceae
Description: long non-coding RNA (ACOM_LNC026985)
Source: RNAcentral
GAUAUAUAGAUGGUUGAUGAAUGAAAAAUAAAGAGAAUAUUGUACAAAUAUUUAUAUACUUAUGAUUGACGAAUGAAAAAUAAAAUGAAUGUUAUAUAAAUAUUUAUAUAUGUAUAAUUAAUGAAUAAAUGAUUACUGAUCCAACCAAUGGUUCAACCACUGGUUGAAUUAGUGGUGUCAACAUGACAUUAUAAAUAUUUAAUAAUUUUUUUAAUUUUAUUAUAUAGAAAAUAUACAUAUAUUAUUAUUCUAGUACCAUACUUAAUUAUAUAAUAUCGGUUUUUAGACAAAAUUAAGUAGAUACAAGUUUUUAUGAAACGACCUAGCCCACUAGCAACAAUAACUCGUUGGGCCCAAACCAACAGCCCAAAAUGCUUAAGCCCAGUUAUUAUUACUAGUGUCUAAGUCUCUUAUAAACCCAAUGACAACCCCAUUUCCAUCCGAUGUGGGAUUAUUGGGGUGUCACAUUUUAAGUUUUAGUUUUCAUAAUAAAAAAUAAAAUUAGUAAAAAUCAAUCAUAAAUAAAAGGAAAAACUUCAAAUACCACCAAUGUGGUUUCACACUUUCUUACUUUAGUACCCAGUGGUUUAAAGUGUUUUAAUUUAGUAUCUGGUGGUUUUAUUUUUAUCUUUUUAUUAUUGAUUACACUAAUUUUUUUCGUGAAAUCAGUGACAAAGUUAAAACUAAAGGAUACUAAAGUAAAUAUUUGAUAAACCAACGAGGGGUAUCUGAAGUUUUUUGUAUAUAAUUUAACGAAAUAUUUAACGGAAAAACUGACGAAAAGAUAAAAAUAAAACCAUAGGAUGCUAACUUAAUACACUUUAAACUAAGGGUGUAAACGAGCCCGAACACGAGCGAGCUAGGGCCGGCUUGUGUUCGCGCGUUUAAUAAACGAAGCCAACACAAGCUGGCUCGUUAAAAAAUUGAGCCGAAAAAUUCAGUUCGUGUUCGGCUCGUUAAUAAACGAGAUGAACAGGAGCUGGCUCACGAGCUGGCCAACGAACAAUAAG